Molecule: long non-coding RNA, 173 nt
Organism: Musca vetustissima
Lineage: Eukaryota; Metazoa; Arthropoda; Insecta; Diptera; Muscidae
Exons: 2
Source: RefSeq, a predicted model, not a curated record
GUAGAAACAACAAAAUUCCAAAACAACUCAAAAUGUUCAAAUUUGUCUUUGUUCUCAUUGCCGCCUUGUUCGCUGUGUCCAUGGCCAGCCCCUCGCCAUUGCCAGCACCAGCUCCAUUGCCCAGAGCUGCUCCCGGCCCCAAUCCAGCUCCUCAAUUCUAUUAUGGUACUCCC